This 224-nucleotide ribosomal RNA is filed under the name uncultured bacterium. RNAcentral describes it as "partial 16S ribosomal RNA". It matches the Rfam family "Bacterial small subunit ribosomal RNA", at positions 794 to 1399 of the family's 1533-position model. The record is from RNAcentral.
UCCACGCCCUAAACGAUGAACACAGCCGUUGGGCCUAUUUAUAGACUUAGUGGCGGAGCUAACGUAUUAAGUUGACCGCCUGGGGAGUACGGCCGCAAGGUUAAAACUCAAAGGAAUUGACGGGGGCCCGCACCCGUUAUAUUUUCGGCGCAGAAUCACUAGUAAUCGUAGAUCAGCUAUGCUACGGUGAAUACGUUCCCGGGUCUUGUACACACCGCCCGUUG